This is a long non-coding RNA of Micropterus salmoides (largemouth bass), 1371 nucleotides long. RefSeq lists it as uncharacterized. The transcript has 2 exons. NCBI's taxonomy places the organism in Eukaryota, Metazoa, Chordata, Actinopteri, Centrarchiformes, Centrarchidae. The record is from RefSeq and is a predicted model, not a curated record.
UGAACCGUGUCUCUGGCAAGUCUGCUGCUCUGCUAAAACACUUCAAUCCCCUCUAUUUAUUUCCACAACGCCAAACAGCUGACGAUUCCUGCAGAAGGGCCAAUGAUUUCCAUUGUUGUCAUAUAUUUCCCCUCUUCCAGACAUAUGUCAAUUUUAUGUCAGAGGAUUAGGGAUGCCAGUUAUUGUUCUGCAGCAUGAGAAUGAUGUCAACUUUCAUACAGAGCCAUUUCUGUGAGAUGUAGACCGCAAAGCAGCUGACAAUUUCUGCAAAGAUGCCAACACAUCACAUCAUUUACAAAACUACAUCCCUGCUCUUCAGCUCUGUCAGUUGUACCCCAGAGAGUUAAAGAGGGAGGGGGGAAAAGAAUGAUGUAAUUUUUCCAGUAGGGCUUUAAAUCUCAGAGUCAUGCUAGUGUGCUGAGCCCUGGAAGAUGAGGAUGAUGAUGAUGAUGAUGAUGAUGAUGAUGAUGGUGCUGGUGGUUAGAGCGGCGGUGAUGAUGAUGGUGCUGGUCAGUGCAGUGGUCAUGGUGGUGAUGACAAUGAUGAUGUCAUUUUCCCUGAAGCCUUUUCCUUUUUAGUUAAUAACAUGAGCCACUUCUCACUUGGUAGUGCUAGGAAUCAGUGCACAUAUGACUUGAGCUGAUUUACCUCUUUUAAUCAAAAACCUUGUUGCGUGGAGGAGGCACUACUACUAAUGUCCUCAGUAAUGUAUCUAUUAAUAUUAAUAUCCCUAAUGUAUUACAUUGGAGGGGAAAUUAGGUUUACUUUGAAUAAUAGCAUGACAUAAAAUUAUUCUAAUCUGAAUGGGUGAAGUUGAUAAUGUUCACAACCCCCCUACCUUGAUGUCUGUAUGUGAGUGAGAGUCUUUUGAUAUUGGUUUUCUCAGUUUGUGUGAAUUUGGGAUACCUAUUGUGUUAUGGUCUUUGUCUGUCUGUUUGUGCUCUGGCUUUUUCUCUCUCUCUCUUCCUCUGUACCUCUUUCUUCAUUUCCUUCCCUCCUGGCAGCGGAGUUGUGGGCGUGCACCUGCUUCCGGGUUUGCCACUCUGACACACCUGCAUCGCAUCUCAAUCACCCACCAGAAUCGUUAAUAGAAGUAUUUAAGGAAGAGUCCGCAAUCCAAUCCCCUCCAGAUGGUUUAGUCAUCUACUGUCUCCUGACUUUCCUGACAGCCUGAACCAGUUUUUGACAAACCUGUUUUUGAAUCAUACAAUCCACCCACCUGCUACGCUGUCUGUCUGUUACUUGGUGUAUCAUGGAAGACACACCGGAACAUCUCUCCGUGGAUUCCACCUGCCUGCUCAGCCCUGGGCCUCACACUCUGCCCAAACUCCUACACUCUCUGUUGUGUUCAAUAAAUCACCUUUAACUUUA